UACGUAGGGCGCAAGCGUUAUCCGGAAUUAUUGGGCGUAAAGAGCUCGUAGGCGGUUUGUCGCGUCUGCCGUGAAAGUCCGGGGCUCAACUCCGGAUCUGCGGUGGGUACGGGCAGACUAGAGUGAUGUAGGGGAGACUGGAAUUCCUGGUGUAGCGGUGAAAUGCGCAGAUAUCAGGAGGAACACCGAUGGCGAAGGCAGGUCUCUGGGCAUUAACUGACGCUGAGGAGCGAAAGCAUGGGGAGCGAACGGG
This 253-nucleotide ribosomal RNA is filed under the name uncultured bacterium. RNAcentral describes it as "partial 16S ribosomal RNA". It matches the Rfam family "Bacterial small subunit ribosomal RNA", at positions 524 to 776 of the family's 1533-position model. The record is from RNAcentral. RNAcentral also lists the same sequence under 1 other name.